Molecule: long non-coding RNA, 953 nt
Organism: Brassica napus (rape)
Lineage: Eukaryota; Viridiplantae; Streptophyta; Magnoliopsida; Brassicales; Brassicaceae
Exons: 5
Source: RefSeq, a predicted model, not a curated record
ACGGAUUUUGGAGACACGUGUCAGAAAAAGAAGAGUUUGGGUUUCUCUUUCUCUCUCCCGAAGGAUGAGUUCGACGAUUGAGUCUAUUCCAUCUCUUCCUCGAUUGAUCUCUCUUCGAUACGGUUGCUGGAAGGUCUGUCGGAAGCUCCGAGGGUGAGGAUCGGCGAGAUUCUUCUAAGUUUGGUUUGGAAUCCGUGAUCUGCCCCGUCGAUUCGAUGCCUGAUAUGGCUAAGAAACCUGCUAACAAAGGAAUCUUUGUUAUACGGCAGACACCAAGAGAGUCUCUAAACCCUUUUCCACUGAAAUUGAUAUACUCUAUGAUCUCUCUUGAUAUCUUUAAAUGUUCAGAGUUGUAUGGUUGGAUGAUAUCUGGAGAGAGAAGAUGAACAUGUCUACGAGGUUCAUCGUUCUGAUCACCAUAUCACUAGUGAUGAGCCUUGGAACAGAUGCGACGGAAGAAGAUGGAGCACUUGUUGCUUAGUUGUUUGGCUCUGUGGGGAAGAUGUUCAAAGCUGAUGAGAAAAUGUUUGAUGCUGUCACUGGUCUCAGUGGAAGUGGACCAGCGUAUAUAUUCCUAGCCGUUGAAGCUUUAGCUGAUGGAGGAGUAGCUGCUGGUUUACCCCGAGAACUCGCACUCGGUUUAGCUUCACAGAUGGUGCAGAUUAUCAUGUCUAUCACACAGCUUUUGAUUCCUAUGAUUGGAUGAUUCACAAUGCAGAUCCGUUGUUUCAUCGUCAUGUUGCCAGUAACGUUUUGUUUUCUUCGUUCUUGUUCUAGUUUUCUCAUGGAUCCCCUUCUUUCAUCUCAUAUAUUCAUAUCUUGGUGAUUGAUUUUGCAGAAGUUAAAAGAACAAGCAUACAACAAUGUUUAAAUUUUUUUUAAGAACCUUUAACUAAGAAACUAGCAUUGUAGCACAAAUUUUAGAUGUUUCUUAACAAAAGUUCUUAAGAUUA